Molecule: ribosomal RNA, 439 nt
Filed under: uncultured bacterium
Lineage: Bacteria
Description: partial 16S ribosomal RNA
Rfam family: Bacterial small subunit ribosomal RNA
Source: RNAcentral
CCUACGGGUGGCUGCAGUGGGGGAUAUUGCACAAUGGAGGAAACUCUGAUGCAGCGACGCCGCGUGAGGGAAGACGGUCUUCGGAUUGUAAACCUCUGUCUUUGGGGAAGAAAAUGACGGUACCCAAAGAGGAAGCUCCGGCUAACUACGUGCCAGCAGCCGCGGUAAUACGUAGGGAGCGAGCGUUGUCCGGAAUUACUGGGUGUAAAGGGAGCGUAGGCGGGCGAGAAAGUUGAAUGUUAAAUCUACCGGCUUAACUGGUAGCUGCGUUCAAAACUUCUUGUCUUGAGUGAAGUAGAGGCAGGCGGAAUUCCUAGUGUAGCGGUGAAAUGCGUAGAUAUCAGGAGGAAUACCGUUAGCGAAGGCGGCAAUCUGGCUGGAAACUGACGCUGAGGUGCGAAAGCGUGGGUAGCAAACAGGAUUAGAUACCCGAGUAGUC